UUGAUUUAUUUUUGCUUUGUGCCACUCAGAGAGAAGACCGCUAAGAGCAAGAGUUUUGGUCCCCCGGCGGCGCCGCCGGAGCGGUCGCCGCCGAAGCAACGUCGGUAUGGUUCACAGUGGGUUUGGGAGUUGUAACACUCAAUAAUGAUCCCUCCGCUGGUUCACCAACGGAGA
RNAcentral lists this unclassified non-coding RNA (174 nucleotides) under uncultured fungus. RNAcentral's name for it is "sequence contains ITS1". The record is from RNAcentral. Lineage: Eukaryota; Fungi.